GUGCUUGCUUCGGCAGCACAUAUACUAAAAUUGGAAUGAUGUAAAGAAGAUUAGCAUGGCCUUUGUGCAAGGAUGACACACAAAUUCAAGAAGCAUUCCAUUUUUUA
Small nuclear RNA from Pongo abelii (Sumatran orangutan), 107 nucleotides. The record is from Ensembl. Lineage: Eukaryota; Metazoa; Chordata; Mammalia; Primates; Hominidae.